GCGUUAAUUGGGAGGGUGAGUGUCUAGUGGGAGCCUGAAUAGUGUGUUCCAGAGUAUUGGCUGACAGUACGCUUUGCCCUUUCGGGAAAGCUUUCUAUGGAGAUGCCCCACUGUCAGUUGUGAGGCUGCGGCACCACAACGCUCCGGACAGAGUCGUGGGAGUGUCUGGAUGGAUAGCUACGUAUCCUGGCAACGGCCUGUCCUCCAGGUCCCAGAGCCAUAGAAAUAAAGUGCUUCUUCAGAGUGAAAGCAUUUUUUUACCCAAAUGGAAUAGAAAGUAUCAGAGAGCAACACAUAUAGAAAGGGUUUUCUGGAUAGAGGCCUCAGCUUGGAACUUCAGAGGUUGAAAGUACAGCUCAAAUGCCUGAGAUGGAGGUGAGCCUCCAAAGAAAUUGCAUCUUGGAAGAGGAUUUGCAGUCUGAAGAGAAGCUUUAGCUUCCAGCUCCUUUCAGACAUCUUCUGAACCCUUGUGUGGAGGAAAAGCUAGUUGUGCAGGAUCAAUCAACAGACAAACUUGACCCAGAGGUCUUUAGAGCAUUGGCACUGGCAAGAUCAAAGAAAUGGUGAAAUUGCUUGUGCUGAAACAGUUUCAGAUCCUCCUGAACAAGGAGUUUAAAUUUUGUCUGAAAACUCUGAAAAUAAUGAAGAUUGUGUCUCUGGAGGAUUUAACCCAAAUGAGGAAGAAAUAAGUAUGGCUUAUAGAAAAAAUGUACUAAUGGAAUAAGCUUAGAAGAAGGCAGUCUGCAAAGUAAAAGUAGGAAACAUAAGUUUUCCUUACCCUUCUUUAGGCACAGAGUCAAUCCUAGGUAAUUUUAUUUUCUAUUACUGCACAAACUUUCCAACAAGAGUGAAAAGGGCAAAAAUCAGCCAGAAUCUUAAAACACAUCAAGUGUAUUUUCCAUGUUUCUUUCCACUCCCUGACUAGAUAAAUGCAUACUUUUUACUCAAUUAUAAUUGUAGAAUAGUCACAAUAAUUGUUUUAGACAUUUUCAUUCUAUCACAAGCAUUUUAUAUGUUGGCUGUGUAGUUUUUAUAAUUAUUUUGAUAGGGGUGGGCUGUUCCCUCAAGAUGCUAUUUUAAUACUUUGUAAAUUUUAUUUCUUUUUAUGGCAUAUUUAGAUUGUUUGGAAUUUUUGAUAUUUUAAUGCUUUCUGCAGGGAUCAUCUUUUAACCUGUGAUUGUUUUUGUUUUUAAAAGAUUCUGUUUUGUAAAAAAUGAUUCUCUUAUAACUAGUUGUUAAGAGUACUAUUACUUCAACAAAAUGCUGCAUAAUUCUGUGGUAUGAGGGGUCAAAUUACUCUCCAAAAAGGAUAUAACACUUUAUACUACAUGAACACCUUACUGAGGUAAAGUUUCUCCUUAAUAUUUUCAUCUUCCUUUUUCGUAUCUGAUUGUCACCUCCUAGUGUUCCCUGCCCAGGCAUCCUAUGUCCUCAUGCUUCCCUCUCUGUUCCUGCCCCCGAUAGCAUCCAGAUAACUGUUACCUGAAACCCACUGUAAUAACAGAGAUAAGAAUUCCUUUCUCUGAAACUUAGGAGUUGGGAGUUAUAUCUGUCCUUUUGCUUCUUUUGAUAGCUUUCUUUGGAGAGAAGGUAGGGGCCACAUCUGUUGUUCUGAGGGACUUGCUGGUCAGUAGUUUGUCUUCAGGACUCCAUGUUCUUUUGACAUCUCUGUCUUCCCAGGAUUCUUCCUUCCCUCAAAAUGGAGCCCAAAGGAGAGAGGCUGGCUACCAUGCAUCUAACUGCAGGACACCAGGUAAAUAUGAGUUUAUUCCCAUCAGAAAUGCCAUUCCAGUGCUCAGAGCAUUAACACAUUUUAUCCUCUCACCUUAAAAUUUAUGUUCCCAUAUAUACACUUCUGAAAUCAAAUCUAAAGUUAUUUGACUUAUUGUAGUAAAUGGUAGGUUCUGUAGAAAAAGCUCCCUUUCAACAGUACCAUUCUCUAGUAAUCACUUCUUCAAGUCAUUGGUUUAUUUAUCCAUCCAUUAAACAUUUUGUGUUAGGUUCCUGUUGCUGCAUAACAAAUUACCACACAUUUGGCAGCUGAAAACAACACCCAUUUAUUAUGUCACAUUUUUGUAGGUCAGAAGUCAGAACACGGCUCAACUGGGUUCUCUGUUCAGGGUUUAAUACAGGCUGAAAUCAGGAUGUCAGCUGGAACCACAGUCUCAUCUGAGGCUUGAGAUCCUCUUCUAAGCUCAUUUAGUUUGUUAGCAGAAUUCAGUUCCUUAUGUGUAGGACCCAUUUUCUUGUUGGCUUUUGGCUGGGCAUUGUUCUUAGCAACUAGAGGCUGUCCUUUGGUCUUAGCCACAUGGCCCUAUCACAGUGAGGCAGCUUGCUUCUUCACAGCCAGAAGGAGAAUCUGUCCAGUCUCCUACCAUAGAGUCUUAUAUAAUGUAACCUAAUCAAGGAAAUGACUACCCCACCAUAGUCACAGGAACUAUGCACACUCAAAGGGAGGAGAUUAUACAGAGUUAGUACCACAGGAGUGAGAAUCUUGGAGCUAUCUUAGAAUUCUACUCAAUAGAAUAUAUGCAGAAGUGUCAGGUGGCAGCUUCUGGGAAACUUUCUGAAGAAAUUGCUGAUCUUUGCCCUUCUUUAUCCCUUCUGUUCUCCUUAUAAUCUUGGAGUAUGAGGUCAAGUUUAUACAUGAUGGACAAACAAGAUAGAAGAGCCUGGGUUCCUGACACUUUGGAAUGCCAUGAUUGCCCUCACCAUCUACCUAGACUCUUGUGUGGUCCAUGGUUAUAAAACCCCACUGUGUGCAAAACAGUGUCACCUUGAAAUUGUAGAGAACAGAUUGGGAGAACGUAGAUGGCUGUGAUGAGGAGAGACUGCCAGCCAUGAAAUUAGUCAGGAGACACAUAAUUUAGGCACGAAGACCUAGAUUUUAAGUUCAGAUACCUUCCCACAGUUAUUAUACAUAUGCAUGUUUCAAAUGGGCUAGGGAUUGGGGGAAAGAGAGCCUCUUUACCAAAUAAAAAGAAACCCUGAAAAUUUCUAAACUAAUUAGCCAACUGUCUUCAAGCUUGAAACUUAGGUGGUCCUACAGAGCGGGAACAGAUGCAGCAUAUCUCACUGUGGCUCACCACAUUCCCCAGAAUCCCCCAACAAAAGCCAGGUACCUGAAGAUGACAUUGUUUUGCACAUGGUGUACCACAUAAUUUUAUAGUAGGGGCAUUUGUCACUAUUCAGGAAGCCUGCUACUUUCAUUUAAAGAAAUGUUUACUCAGGGGGCUUCCCUGGUGGCGCAG
Molecule: non-coding RNA, 3251 nt
Organism: Delphinapterus leucas (beluga whale)
Lineage: Eukaryota; Metazoa; Chordata; Mammalia; Artiodactyla; Monodontidae
Source: RefSeq, a predicted model, not a curated record